UGAACAGGCAUCACAAUCUAGCAUCAGCCGUCUCCUGAGCUCACUUGGCUGGAGAUAGUCAACAGCAAACACACUGAGUUGCUUCUCUACUUCCAAGGUCACAGCCUCAGGACCCCAGGCAGAGAAAGUAUCUGUGAAAGAUUGAGAAGAUGGCUGACUCCAUCCAGACACCGCAAACCACAAUGCGGCAGCCACGCGACUAUCACAGACACCCCAGAGAAGGUCUCCCCUGAAGUGGAAACUACUGCCUUUCUCUUGCUUUUACAUCUCCAAUUGCUACAAAAAUAAUCUGCCUAAAGAUGCAUCAAACAGCUCUGAAUUCAAGGCAAGGAGACCAGGAACUGAAAGCUCAAAUCUGCCUCCCCAUCCGCUGGUGGCACACUUGGAAAAAGUGAGAGGGG
Molecule: long non-coding RNA, 401 nt
Organism: Fukomys damarensis (Damara mole-rat)
Lineage: Eukaryota; Metazoa; Chordata; Mammalia; Rodentia; Bathyergidae
Exons: 3
Source: RefSeq, a predicted model, not a curated record